Molecule: non-coding RNA, 1481 nt
Organism: Taeniopygia guttata (zebra finch)
Lineage: Eukaryota; Metazoa; Chordata; Aves; Passeriformes; Estrildidae
Source: RefSeq, a predicted model, not a curated record
GGCCGGGCCGGGGGUGCGGUGCCGAGAGCGCCCCCUGGCGGCAGCCGCGCGGUUGCCAUGGGGACGGGCGGGGGUCGGGGGUCGCGGCCUAGCUCCGAGCGGGGCCCGGGGGGUUCCCGGGGGGCUCCUGGCGGGUUCCCAGCUCUGUAUCCCAGCUCCUGCAUAUCCCCGGGACAGUAUGUUAAGCCCCAUAUGCUCUGUGUGCAAUGAGGGCAAGGAUAGCCACCCCCCCCCACCCCCCCGCCGCCCCAAAGCUUCCCGCUGUGUAUGGGAGUAUGGCUGGUAUCUAUGGGCAGGUUUAGAUGCUACAGGCAUAAUAGAAUUCAUUAGGUUGGAAAAGACUUCUGAGAUCGUGGAGUCCAACCUAUGACUGAGCACCACCUUGUCAACCAGACCAAUGCACUGGGUGCUACUCCAGUUUUUCCUUAAACACCUCCAGGGACGGUGAUUCCAGCACCUCUCUGGGCAGCCCGUUCCAAUGUACAAACACCUACAGCCCAGUCCUCUCCUGGCCACUGUCUCCUGCAGCACAUGGCUGAGCAGGAUGUGAUCCCACUGGGAGCCUCAGCCCUCACCAGACAUGGCAUUUGAACAGCCAGGUCAAUGUGUGCCUGCCCAUGGAAAGGGGGUGGAAUAGGAUGAACUUUUAAGGUCCUUCCCAACCCAAACCAGUCUGUGACUCUAUGGAGGGUGGUUUGUACCAGUGGGUUGACCAGCAGUGGUUCAGGAGUGCUGUGGCUGAGCUGCUGCAGGGUCACUGUGGGCAGCUGCCUGCCCUGGAGAGGGGGAUGCUGGCUGCACAGGAAAGCUACAGCAGGAAUGGUGGAACGUGUACUGUAAUACUUGCCCUGUCCUAGCCCCCAGUGCUCAUGCAGAGAGACAAAAAUUGAAGUUGAUCCUCUUCUUCCACAAAGAAAAAGCAGUUAUCAGUGGUAUCUAUAUUUAUUUAUUUUUCCUCUCAGAAUAUGAGGUGCAGUUGAUCUCCAGAAGCUUCUCAAGGGCAAUUAAAGCAAGUCAUACUGUGGGAGCAUUUGUUGUGCUGAAUCUUAUAUUUCUCUUCCUACCCAGCUGAGUCAGAACAGCUGCUUAGCAAAGGAUCUGAAGAGGUUUCAGAAGCAGUUAGAAAGGGAAGCGGGAAAGCCUGAGGCAAGAAAACGUGCCUUUAUUCUGAAGACCCUGAAAAUGCCUUCAGAGUACUAUUUGUUUGUGGAAGAAUUUUGCAAGAACCCUGGCAUUAUUUGGGUUAUGAUACUGGUUGGCAAGUCACAAGGUGGGGGAAUGUUUCUGAAAACUGAAAUGUAUAAUUGAUUGAAGAAGGUGAGAAUGACUGUCUUUUCUUUGGGAAUAUCCAACAGGCAUUUUGUUCAUUUGCUCUUUUUUCAUCCUCUCCUUCUGCCAGUGCUUGGUCUGUUCUCCCAUGAUGCCCUCCUGCCAUACUCCUCACCAUUCUCCAGGGUAACAAUAAAGGUUUUUACAAUGGA